RNAcentral lists this non-coding RNA (28 nucleotides) under Mus musculus (house mouse). The record is from RNAcentral. Lineage: Eukaryota; Metazoa; Chordata; Mammalia; Rodentia; Muridae.
GAUUGGGAUAAACUAGGAGCUCCCUUGC